RNAcentral lists this ribosomal RNA (476 nucleotides) under uncultured organism. RNAcentral's name for it is "partial 16S ribosomal RNA". It matches the Rfam family "Bacterial small subunit ribosomal RNA", at positions 331 to 798 of the family's 1533-position model. The record is from RNAcentral.
GUACACUCCUGCGGGAGGCAGCAGUGGGGAAUUUUGGACAAUGGGCGAAAGCCUGAUCCAGCAAUGCCGCGUGAGUGAAGAAGGCCUUCGGGUUGUAAAGCUCUUUUGUCAGGGAAGAAACGGUGAAAGCUAAUAUCUUUUGCUAAUGACGGUACCUGACGAAUAAGCACCGGCUAACUACGUGCCAGCAGCCGCGGUAAUACGUAGGGUGCAAGCGUUAAUCGGAAUUACUGGGCGUAAAGCGUGCGCAGGCGGUUUUGUAAGUCUGAUGUGAAAUCCCCGGGCUCAACCUGGGAAUUGCAUUGGAGACUGUAAGGCUAGAAUCUGGCAGAGGGGGGUAGAAUUCCACGUGUAGCAGUGAAAUGCGUAGAUAUGUGGAGGAACACCGAUGGCGAAGGCAGCCCCCUGGGUCAAGAUUGACGCUCAUGCACGAAAGCGUGGGGAGCAAACAGGAUUAGAUACCCGUGUAGUCCCAU